This 22-nucleotide non-coding RNA is filed under the name Arabidopsis thaliana (thale cress). The record is from RNAcentral. Lineage: Eukaryota; Viridiplantae; Streptophyta; Magnoliopsida; Brassicales; Brassicaceae.
CACUCGACCACGGUGCUACCAU